AAGAGUUUGGUGCCUUCGGGUACUAUCUCCAACCAAUUGUGAACCAAAUUUGUUGCCUCGACAUCCGAUAGGUACCCAAUAGGUGUACCCAUCCUUCGGUUGCUUGCACCUGAAGAGUGAUGUCUGAGGAUUUUAAAACUUUUUUUAAUCAGUAUCUGAGUUAAACAAAAUAAAAACA
RNAcentral lists this unclassified non-coding RNA (178 nucleotides) under uncultured fungus. Its description in RNAcentral is "sequence contains ITS1, 5.8S rRNA gene". Lineage: Eukaryota; Fungi. The record is from RNAcentral.